GCAAAUAUAGUUUAACCAAAACAUUAGAUUGUGAUUCUAAAAACAGAAGUUGAAACCCUUCUUAUUCGCC
RNAcentral lists this transfer RNA (70 nucleotides) under Batrachostomus cornutus. RNAcentral's name for it is "tRNA-His". It matches the Rfam family "tRNA". Rfam says of the family: Transfer RNA (tRNA) molecules are approximately 80 nucleotides in length. The record is from RNAcentral. Lineage: Eukaryota; Metazoa; Chordata; Aves; Caprimulgiformes; Batrachostomatidae.